AUUGAACGCUGGCGGCAGGCCUAACACAUGCAAGUCGAGCGGAUGAAGGGAGCUUGCUCCUGGAUUCAGCGGCGGACGGGCGAGUAAUGCCUAGGAAUCUGACUGGUAGUGGGGGAUAACGUCCGGAAACGGGCGCUAAUACCGCAUACGUCCUGAGGGAGAAAGUGGGGGUUCUUCGGACCUCACGCUAUCAGAUGAGCCUAGGUCGGAUUAGCUAGUUGGUGGGGUAAAGGCCUACCAAGGCGACGAUCCGUAACUGGUCUGAGAGGAUGAUCAGUCACACUGGAACUGAGACACGGUCCAGACUCCUACGGGAGGCAGCAGUGGGGAAUAUUGGGCAAUGGGCGAAAGCCUGAUCCAGCCAUGCCGCGUGUGUGAAGAAGGUCUUCGGAUUGUAAAGCACUUUAAGUUGGGAGGAAGGGCAGUAAGUUAAUACCUUGCUGUUUUGACGGUACCAACAGAAUAAGCACCGGCUAACUUCGUG
RNAcentral lists this ribosomal RNA (484 nucleotides) under uncultured bacterium. Its description in RNAcentral is "partial 16S ribosomal RNA". It matches the Rfam family "Bacterial small subunit ribosomal RNA", at positions 30 to 507 of the family's 1533-position model. The record is from RNAcentral.